RNAcentral lists this ribosomal RNA (494 nucleotides) under uncultured bacterium. RNAcentral's name for it is "partial 16S ribosomal RNA". It matches the Rfam family "Bacterial small subunit ribosomal RNA", at positions 28 to 507 of the family's 1533-position model. The record is from RNAcentral.
GACGAACGCUGGCGGCGUGCUUAACACAUGCAAGUCGAACGGUGAAGCGCCUUCCUUUUUGGUGGGUGUGGAUGAGUGGCGAACGGGUGAGUAACACGUGAGUAACCUGCCCCCUUCUUCUGGAUAACCGCAUGAAAGUGUGGCUAAUACGGGAUAUUCUGGGUCUGUCGCAUGAUGGGUCUGGGAAAGAUAUUGUUUCGGUGGGGGAUAGGCUCGCGGCCUAUCAGCUUGUUGGUGGGGUGAUGGCCUACCAAGGCGGUGACGGGUAGCCGGCCUGAGAGGGUGGACGGUCACACUGGGACUGAGACACGGCCCAGACUCAUACGGGAGGCAGCAGUGGGGAAUAUUGCACAAUGGGCGCAAGCCUGAUGCAGCGACGCCGCGUGAGGGAUGGAGGCCUUCGGGUUGUGAACCUCUUUCGCCAGUGAAGCAGGCCUGCCUCGUUUGUGGGUGGGUUGACGGUAGCUGGAGAAGAAGCGCCGGCUAACUACGUG